GUGGACGUAGCUCAGUUGGUAGAGCUCCUGGUUGUGGUCCAGGCGGUCGAGGGUUCAAGCCCCUUCGUUCACCCCA
This 76-nucleotide transfer RNA is filed under the name bacterium. Its description in RNAcentral is "tRNA-His". It matches the Rfam family "tRNA". Rfam says of the family: Transfer RNA (tRNA) molecules are approximately 80 nucleotides in length. Their secondary structure includes four short double-helical elements and three loops (D, anti-codon, and T loops). The record is from RNAcentral.